CCUGAGAAACCCGAAAGAUCGAAUGGGGAGAUUCAUCGUCAGCGAUUUUGGUACGUGUGCGGUUCGCGAUGCCGGAGAUUUCGGUCUCACGGUACGCGUCCGCAUGUUUUUUAUUGCCUUGAUCGUCGGCGUGCACUUCUCCCCUAGUAGGACGUCGCGACCCGUUGGGUGUCGGUCUACGGCCCGGGUGUGUAGCCUGUCUCGUGAGCGCUUCACCGCGUUUCGCGAUUCAGACCCUCGGUUGCCUGACCGGCUGCCCGGCGGUACUCGCACGGUAUCUGGCCGCAAAUAUUCGAACUGCGUCCGGCCCGUCGCAAGCGAGGCAAGUGUUUCCCGGCUGUACGGAUCUAACGCCGUCACCGGGCCUUGCCAGCUGUUGGCUGACGGUGUCCUAGGACAGGCUAACAAAAAUUAUGAUACCGGUCGGCGACGCUAUUGCUUUGGGUACUUUCAGGACCCGUCUUGAAACACGGACCAAGGAGUCUAACAUGUGCGCGAGUCAUUGGGAUCUAUUAAGCCUAAAGGCGCAAUGAAAGUGAAGGUCGGCCUUGCGCCGACCGAGGGAGGAUGGGCCGCGUCACGAUGCGGUCCCGCACUCCCGGGGCGUCUCGUUCUCAUUGCGAGAAGAGGCGCACCCAGAGCGUACACGU
RNAcentral lists this ribosomal RNA (650 nucleotides) under Mansa singularis. RNAcentral describes it as "eukaryotic LSU rRNA". It matches the Rfam family "Eukaryotic large subunit ribosomal RNA", at positions 420 to 809 of the family's 3401-position model. Lineage: Eukaryota; Metazoa; Arthropoda; Insecta; Hymenoptera; Ichneumonidae. The record is from RNAcentral.